ACGACCGCGUUGGGAGAAUCCGGUGCCUCGACAUUGAUCGGGACGCCGGUGCCGAAGGAGCAACCGCCCCGGAAACUCUCAGGCCCAAGGACCAGCGCCGGCCG
RNAcentral lists this non-coding RNA (104 nucleotides) under Rhizobium sp. RNAcentral's name for it is "Glycine sequence". It matches the Rfam family "Glycine riboswitch aptamer". Rfam says of the family: This family represents the bacterial glycine riboswitch. Glycine riboswitches usually consist of two metabolite-binding aptamers domains with similar structures in tandem. The aptamers cooperatively bind glycine to regulate the expression of downstream genes. The record is from RNAcentral. Lineage: Bacteria; Pseudomonadati; Pseudomonadota; Alphaproteobacteria; Hyphomicrobiales; Rhizobiaceae.